This is a non-coding RNA of Caerostris darwini, 110 nucleotides long. NCBI's taxonomy places the organism in Eukaryota, Metazoa, Arthropoda, Arachnida, Araneae, Araneidae. The record is from the annotation of a GenBank genome assembly.
AACGGCCAUACCAUGCUGAAUAUACCGGUUCUUGUUAGAUCACCGAAGUCAAGCAUCUUCGGGCGGCGCGGUCAGUACUUGGGUGGGUGACCACCUGGGAACACCGCGUG